AUUGAACGCUGGCGGCAGGCCUAACACAUGCAAGUCGAACGAGUGGCGGACGGGUGUGUAGUGUCUGGGAAACUGCCUGAUGGAGGGGGAUAACUACUGGAACCGGUAGCUAAUACAGCAUACCAUCGGAUGUGCCCAGAUGGGAUUAGCUAGUAGGUGGGGUAAAGGCACACAAAGGCGACGAUCCCUAGCUGGGCUGAGAGGAUGACCAGCCACACUGGGACUGAGACACGGUCCAGACUCCUAGGGGAGGCAGCAGUGGGGAAUAUUGCACAAGGGGCGAAAGCCUGAUGCAGCCAUGCCGCGUGUGUGAAGAAGGCCUUCGGGUUGUAAAGCACUGUCAGCGGGGAGGCGUUACCCGCAGAAGAAGCACCGGCUAACUCCGUGCCAGCAGCCGCGGUAAUUC
Molecule: ribosomal RNA, 406 nt
Filed under: uncultured bacterium
Lineage: Bacteria
Description: partial 16S ribosomal RNA
Rfam family: Bacterial small subunit ribosomal RNA
Source: RNAcentral